This 71-nucleotide transfer RNA is filed under the name Camelus bactrianus (Bactrian camel). It matches the Rfam family "tRNA". Rfam says of the family: Transfer RNA (tRNA) molecules are approximately 80 nucleotides in length. Their secondary structure includes four short double-helical elements and three loops (D, anti-codon, and T loops). The record is from Rfam by way of RNAcentral. RNAcentral also lists the same sequence under 2 other names. Lineage: Eukaryota; Metazoa; Chordata; Mammalia; Artiodactyla; Camelidae.
GAGGGUAUAGCUAUCAGUAGAGUGUGUGCCUAGGAUGCACAAGGUCCUGGGUUCAAUCCCCAGCAUCUCCA